UGGAGGGGCCGAGCAAGGCACUUCACAUACAAUGCAAGGUCUCAAUGCUCACAACAGCCCUGGGAAGUAGGUUUUACUAUUCGCAGUGUAUAGACGAGGUAACCGCUCAGAGAGAUUAGCUUUCCCAAGAGCUCCCAGCUUUUAAGUGGAAGAUCUAAAUCCUAAAUCUGUUCGACUAAAAGCCCGGAGUAACUGGGCGGAGGGCCUUGUGCCGCUCCGUGCUGGUCUGAGGUCGGGAACUGUGAAUCAUAUUUAUUUAUGCAACGCUGAGCACGUGUCUGUGUGUGUAAUUCACAAACGAAAAAACAAAUCCAGGUCCGGGUAUCUGUUCUCUGGAAGUUUAGAAGCCUGCGUGGUGGAGAGCUGCCAAAGUCUGCCCUCAUUCAUUCGCUCCUUGGAUCCCGUAAGAAGUGUUUGUGGCGCACUUGGGUAUUCCGGGCGGGGCGCUAAACUAGAAGAGGGGACGGCGAGCCGGCUGCUCCCCAGCCUGACUUGACUUUCUCCGGGGCAAGGGUUAGGGUUAAGGGAAGCAGAAACGGUAUGGAGCCGGCUGGGGCGCGAGCCGCACCGGCGGCGGGGAGCGGGGGGGCGGCGAGCGGCGGCUGGCCGGGGCGGGCGGGCGCCCGGAGGCGGGCUCCCCGAGGCGAGCCCGGGGCCUCCGGCGGAGCGGCGGAGCGGCGGUGGAGAGCCGGGCGAGGGGCCGCGGCACGCGGGCGGGCGGCCGGGCCGGGCGGGCGCGUUAGGGUUAGGGAGGGAGGAUUCGGCUUCCCGGCGGCAGAGGGCGCCUGGCGCUGCCGGCCGGGGCCGCGCGCCCGGGCGCCGGGAGGCGAGGCGGGGAGCGUGAGCGGCGGCCACCGCCACGUCUUCCCGGCAGCGGCAGCGCAGGCGGAGGUGAGCGGCGGCGCGGGCCGGGCCAGGCCGGGCGGGGGGCGGCGGCCCCGUGGUUCCCGCCGCGCCCGCCCCGCGCAGAGCCGGGCGGCUGCCGAGGCCCGGGCCCGGAGCGCGUCCCGAGCGCAACUCGUGCCGGCCGCGGGCGGGGGCCGCGGGGCCGCGCGUCUUUGCGCGGGGCCGGGGUCUCCGCGCUGCGGGCUGGAGCCGCGGCCGGGAAAGUUGGGGCAGACCGCGAGCCCCCGGGCCGGGCGGGAAGUGCGGGCGCGCGGCGGCCCCGGGGGACUGGGGCACGCGGGGCGCCGGAGGCGGCGGGCGCGGGUGUUCGGCGCGCGGAAAGGAAGGGGCGCGAUCGGGGUCCCCGGCUGGAGUCCGCAGCCUGGAGUGGAUGAGCAGUGGAUCCACUUGGAGCAGCCUUGCUCGAAGAAUACCCCCAGGAUCUCUCCUUGCUGUGGGAAUAAUCCAAAUCACCUUUCCUGGAAGUCAGUUUGCUGAAACUACUGAAGCCAGCAGUUCUUGGAAGUUGAAGAAAAGGAGAUCCGGCGCCUUGACCUGAGGGGUGUGGCCCUCCCGUCGGAACCGGCUCCAGACGCGCCCUCCUAGCAGCCCAGGAAGAUGCGGCAGCUCAAGGGGAAGCCCAAGAAGGAGACGUCCCGGGACAAGAAGGAGCGGAAGCAGGCCAUGCAGGAGGCGCGGCGGCAGAUCACCACGGUGGUGCUGCCCACGCUGGCCGUGGUGGUGCUGCUCAUCGUGGUGUUCGUGUACGUGGCCACGCGCCCCGCCAGCACCGAGUGAGGGCGCAGACGAGUGGCUUCCGUGCGCAGGGUUUCCUGAGCUCUGAGCAGGGGCCCCCUGUGUUCUCUGGUCUGUGACUUGAUUAAAGUUUCUCCACUUUUCUCGGGAAGGGAAUAGGGAACGUUUUAUCACUGAAUGUGCCAUACACCUUACGGUCCACUUCAUGUGCCUUUCAGACUUCAAAGCCGUGUGUGUGUGUGUGGGUGUGGGUGUGGGUGUGGUGUGUGGUGUGUGGUGUGUGUUUCUCUCCUCUAAUCAGUAUGUCGACAGCUUCACCUGGUGAGAGGAGGAAUCUCUGGGUCACGGAUCAGUUGGGAUCAGUGCUUCUUACCCCAUCCCUGUCGCUUUGAACAUGACUCUUUCCUACACAUGUUCACGAUUUCCGAAGGGACUGUAAUUCUUCUCUGUGCUUCAUGUGAUUUGAAAUAUAUGUCGACUCAAAAGUGAAAUAUUUAUUUUUUGAAUAAAGGAGGUAAUAGCCUUA
This 2167-nucleotide long non-coding RNA is filed under the name Bos indicus x Bos taurus (hybrid cattle). RNAcentral describes it as "lncRNA (ENSBIXG00000029338.1)". Lineage: Eukaryota; Metazoa; Chordata; Mammalia; Artiodactyla; Bovidae. The record is from RNAcentral.